This 476-nucleotide ribosomal RNA is filed under the name uncultured eukaryote. Its description in RNAcentral is "partial 18S ribosomal RNA". It matches the Rfam family "Eukaryotic small subunit ribosomal RNA", at positions 592 to 976 of the family's 1831-position model. The record is from RNAcentral.
CAUUAGCGUAUAUUAAUGCUGUUGCAGUUAAAAAGCUCGUAGUUGAAUUUUGGAGUUUGUUAGAAUUUGGUCCGCCUCGAAGGCGAGUACUAAUUCUAGCGCUCUAUAUGUGGUAACAAUGUACACUGGUGCUUAACUGUGCGAGUGUUCUUGGAAGCAGUGAUGCGACCAAGAGGUGAGGGAUGCGAGAUGGUUGCGUGGGGAGACCUGCGGGGCUUUUGUCGCAUCUUUUGCAACAUUUUACCUAUUUUACUUUGAAAAAAUUAGAGUGUUCAAAGCAGCCCUUAGGGGCAUUGAAUAGUAAAGCAUGGGAUAAUAGAAGAGGACAGCCGUCUUAUUUUGUUGGUUUUUUGAGACGAUUGUAAUGAUUAAAGGGGAUUGUUGGGGUGGUUUGUAUUGAGGUGUCAGCGGUGAAAUGCUAAGAUUGCCUUAAGACAAACUUCUGCGAAAGCAUUCCACUAGGAAGUUUUCAUCAA